ACACAUGCAAGUCGAACGGAGCUGCUUUGAUGAAGUUUUCGGAUGGAUUUAAAGCAGCUUAGUGGCGGACGGGUGAGUAACGCGUGGGUAACCUGCCUCACACUGGGGGAUAACAGUUAGAAAUAGCUGCUAAUACCGCAUAAGCGCACGGUUCCGCAUGGAACAGUGUGAAAAACUCCGGUGGUGUGAGAUGGACCCGCGUCUGAUUAGCCAGUUGGCGGGGUAACGGCCCACCAAAGCGACGAUCAGUAGCCGGCCUGAGAGGGUGAACGGCCACAUUGGGACUGAGACACGGCCCAAACUCCUACGGGAGGCAGCAGUGGGGAAUAUUGCACAAUGGGGGAAACCCUGAUGCAGCGACGCCGCGUGAGUGAAGAAGUAUUUCGGUAUGUAAAGCUCUAUCAGCAGGGAAGAAAGUGACGGUACCUGAAUAAGAAGCCCCGGCUAACUACGUGCCAGCAGCCGCGGUAAUACGUAGGGGGCAAGCGUUAUCCGGAUUUACUGGGUGUAAAGGGAGCGUAGACGGCAAGGCAAGUCUGAAGUGAAAGCCCGGUGCUUAACGCCGGGACUGCUUUGGAAACUGUUUGGCUGGAGUGCCGGAGAGGUAAGCGGAAUUCCUAGUGUAGCGGUGAAAUGCGUAGAUAUUAGGAAGAACACCAGUGGCGAAGGCGGCUUACUGGACGGUAACUGACGUUGAGGCUCGAAAGCGUGGGGAGCAAACAGGAUUAGAUACCCUGGUAGUCCACGCCGUAAACGAUGAUUGCUAGGUGUAGGUGGGUAUGGACCCAUCGGUGCCGCAGCUAACGCAAUAAGCAAUCCACCUGGGG
This 827-nucleotide ribosomal RNA is filed under the name uncultured bacterium. RNAcentral's name for it is "bacterial SSU rRNA". It matches the Rfam family "Bacterial small subunit ribosomal RNA", at positions 51 to 878 of the family's 1533-position model. The record is from RNAcentral.